This 565-nucleotide ribosomal RNA is filed under the name Linuparus trigonus. Its description in RNAcentral is "eukaryotic LSU rRNA". It matches the Rfam family "Eukaryotic large subunit ribosomal RNA", at positions 737 to 1138 of the family's 3401-position model. Lineage: Eukaryota; Metazoa; Arthropoda; Malacostraca; Decapoda; Palinuridae. The record is from RNAcentral.
CCGAUCCCCGACCGGCUGCCCCCGGCAUCCUCACGUCCCGUCACGCGGGGUGAGUCACUUUCCUCCGUCUCUGCUGCGGCGGCGAGGGUGUCGAUGUGGCGAUGGUCUGUAAAAACCUGUUCGCAGGGGGGCGCAGGGCCGGGACUUGCCACCUGACGCCGCUCGUUUCCUCACCCGUUGGGGGGGCGAGCGUACUACUAGUCGGUAAGUACCAUGAGCAGGCAUGUUGGGACCCGAAAGAUGGUGAACUAUGCCUGGCCAGGAUGAAGCCAGAGGAAACUCUGGUGGAGGUCCGUAGCGAUUCUGACGUGCAAAUCGAUCGUCAGAGCUGGGUAUAGGGGCGAAAGACUAAUCGAACCAUCUAGUAGCUGGUUCCCUCCGAAGUUUCCCUCAGGAUAGCUGGAACUCGCACACCAAUGAAUUUCAUCCGGUAAAGCGAAUGAUUAGAGGUCUUGGGGACGAAACGUCCUCAACCUAUUCUCAAACUUUAAAUGGGUGAGAUGCCGAGCUUGCUUAAAAGCUGAAGCUUCGGCGACGAAUCAGAGUUACCUAGUGGGCCACUUUU